Molecule: long non-coding RNA, 985 nt
Filed under: Mus caroli (Ryukyu mouse)
Lineage: Eukaryota; Metazoa; Chordata; Mammalia; Rodentia; Muridae
Description: lncRNA (MGP_CAROLIEiJ_G0006195.1)
Source: RNAcentral
GACAGGCCCGCGUAGAAAGACGUCUUCCCGGGAAGAGGUGGAGGGUGUCCCCAGCACGGGAAAUCUCUUUGCGGAGCCUCCUGACGCAGCGUGCAAGACAGGACGGUUAUGGAUUCUGAGACAAGACUGCCGCGCCGGCUGUACGGGUGAGCUCGGGUUGGGCAUUCACCGCUUGUCCCUGUAAACGCUACGUCAUGUGUCACAUCCCGCCCCUCUCCUAUAGGAGGCAGUGUGGGCGGGGGAGGGCGUGUCUGUGGCAGUCACGCCCCUCCUCCCGGUCAAGUUCAAGUAUUUGUGUUGAAAGUUUUUACUGGGCUUGCGUCCUCGCCUCAAGGAGCCGCAGCACUCGCUGUGAACACAAAGGGCAUCACCCGAGCAGGUCUGCAGAGCGGCGUGGUUCAUGGGCAACCAAGGUGCCUCGAAAAGGUGAAGUCGUGUCGCCUGGAACUGAGCCCUGACCCCUGCUCGGCUUGGAAUGGGCAUGGAAGUGGCAGAGUUCUUAUCCCAGAUCAGCUCCCAGUUUUCCAGCCCCCACCCCAUCACGAAAGGUACCAGCCUGUCAUCAUGAAAACACUAAGGCUCGGGGACUCAGGUCUGGCCCACGCAUCCAGUCAGGAGCUAGCUGGGAUCUUCUCACAGGUGGAUUGAUGGUGUCUCUGGGCUCUCUGUUCUGUUUCACUGGACUCUUGACUCUUCUGCCAGUGCCACAGUGCCUUGGUGACUGAAAUCUUCAUCGUAACUUUUUAAAACGUCCUAUAUUGAUAUUUACUUAGUUUACGGUUACAAAGUGUCUUUCCUGAAUAUGAUUUUAUAUGCUGCACACAUGCAGUACCCAUGGAGGCCAGAAGAGGGCGCUGGAUCCCCACGGAACUGGAGAUACAGAGGGUUGUGAGUCAUCCUGUGGGUGCUGGGCACCGGACCCAGCUCCUGUACAAGAGCAGCAGCUCUUAGCCAGUGAGCCAUCUCUCCAGCCACCUCAUUCCAC